AAAAAAGUUCACUUCAAGAUGGUCUGAAGAGAUAGAUUCCCCUCUAGAAGAGAAAGAAGCCUAUUUUGAAGAAAGAGGAAUUGAGUGUUCUGCUGCAGACCUCUCCAGGGAGGACGCUGAUUAUGAUGAUGAUAUUAGAGAGGACUAUGCAGACCCUCUCUAUCAUUCAUUUUCUUCUUGAUAAGUGUGAGGAGUCAAGCUAGAGACUUUAAACAAGCUCACUUGGGAGAAAGUCCCAUGUGUAUCCUUGUAAAUAAUUUUUACUUUCUUGUUAUUUUUGAUUUGUUUUAGUUGUGUUUGUGGUUCUAAGGAAGAAAGGAAUAACGUGAAGGUAGAGUAAAAAUUCAAAACUUUUACUCUACUGAUGGCCUAGAGAUCGAGUACAUUGGUCGAGUAUGAGUGAUGUUUAAAAACCCAAAAAAAAAUUUAAAUCAUCAUUUUACUCGACCAACAGAAGCUACAGAAUCUUACAAAGAGUUUAUCAAGUUUACAGAAGAUUGCAGGAUUUCCUGGGGAUUUUACAGUGAACAGAGAGCAUAGAAGAAAGACAAGAAGACACAGUGUGACCCACCACUGACGCCCAUGUCCUCCAUGCAGCAGACCAAGAGACAUGGAAUCUCUUCAUACCCCAUCCCUUCACUCGAUCUCCACGCAACCCCAUCUUCACCUUACCCACUCGACUUCUUCUCCUUCACUCGACCUCGUUUUCUCCUCCAUAACCCAAUAAACUCGACCCCAUCCCUCUUCAUUCAUCACCACCAACAAACCAAACUCUCAUCUCUCUUAUCUCAACCACUCGACCCCAUCCCUCUUGAAUCAACGCUCCCUUACCUCCUUUACUCGACCUCGGCAUCUCCUCUUCACCAUCCUCUUCAUAUACUCGACCUCAACACUCCUCUCCACACACCAAACUUUUCGCAACUCUCUCAUCUCUCAUCACCGUUCACUGCAAUUCAAGUCUUCAAGUGUUUGUUUCCAUCACUCGACUUCAUCAUUCUCCAACUUCAACAACUUCACUCGACUCCUCAUCAUCAUCUUCUUCAUGGCCUCACCACUCGACCACUCUUCGCCACCACCACCUCUCAAUCGUCUCAAUUUCACUCGGCCACAACUCUCUUCGCCUCUCCAUCAUGACCGCUUGCUCCCUCUCUCCAAGGAAACAACUCGACCUCGCCAUUUCAUUCACUCGACCUCUAUCACCAAGCCGCCUUCACUACUUCUAGCUCAUAACCACUCGACCAAAGUGCCAUUGUUCUCUCAUCUCUCAAGUCCACUCAUCACACGACUUCGCCAAGUUCACUCGAUUCACCGCCAAAGCGACACCACUCGACCGCUCCUCUAUUUCCACGGUCAAACCGCAGCUGCUCUCCUCCUCUUCAAGCUCACCACUCGACCACCGCCUCACUCUAACCACGAAACUAGCUUCACUCGACCAUACAAAAUCACUUGAUCAACCGAAAGAAAAGAAAAA
This 1471-nucleotide small RNA is filed under the name Arabidopsis thaliana (thale cress). Its description in RNAcentral is "ATSL265600". Lineage: Eukaryota; Viridiplantae; Streptophyta; Magnoliopsida; Brassicales; Brassicaceae. The record is from RNAcentral.